This 1056-nucleotide long non-coding RNA is filed under the name Monodelphis domestica (gray short-tailed opossum). RNAcentral's name for it is "lncRNA (ENSMODG00000033038.2)". Lineage: Eukaryota; Metazoa; Chordata; Mammalia; Didelphimorphia; Didelphidae. The record is from RNAcentral.
AUGCGAAAAAAGGGGGCUGCUCCAGGUUGGGGGGUGCAAGAGGGGGAUCGCGCUAGCGAGGCCGAAGGGAGGGGGCAAUCUGAGAGGGAAUUGAAGGUGAAUGCUUCUCAAAGGGGUGGGGAUAGCUACAGAAACCGCAGCAUGGGCGGGGGAGGGGAGAGCAGAGGCCUCGGAGGUUUGGACGGGGAGGGGGAGGGGAAAGAAGUGCUGGGUGCGGCUCUUUCUCAGAGAGCUCCCCAAGGCGCCAUCUUGGAUCCGUUCAGUCGCAACAAACGGAUUAGCACGGUAGCGAAGCGCGACCGAGGCCGGACCUCAGACGCGCUCCACUUACCGAUAUGCUGGCAACCGCAACCUCAGGGUCCUGAGGACUGCCAGCAGGCUCAGGGCCAGGGUCAACCCGUUUUGCGUCUCCCCCCUCCACCUCGGCGGCUUUCUGGUGAUCUCGGCUCCUCGAAGGCCCCCCCACCGGAAACGAACCAACCACGACCAAUCAGCGUUCGAUUACUGACGUCAAUGGGCCUCGGUCUGGUCAAGGUGGUUGCCUUGGCAACCUUAAAGGGAAAACUACCGCCCCUCCCCCUCGCCCCUCUCUUUCGAACCUCAACUCCCCCGCCCACUCCCAGGACCCUUCUUUUCUGCACUCCUUUAUCCGAUUCUGUAGCCCUCCCUCAUUCCUUCCCUCUCUUUCCUCCCUUCCCUUCUUUUUCUGUUCUUUCUCGAUCCCCGACUCACUCACCUGCUUGUCCACAAUUUUUCGUCUUUUGGCUCUCCUUUCUUCCUUUCUCUGCCUCUCUCUUUCUCUGUAUCUAUACCUCUCUUUCUCUCGGUCUCUCUUUUCCUUUUUGUCUCGGUUUAGACGCUCCUGUGUGUCUAGACCGUCUCAGUCUAAACUGUCUGCCUUGGGUCUCCUUUUUUCUCCCUGUCUCUCUCUUUUUCUUUCCGUCCGUCUCUGUCCCCUCGAGCUCCUCCUCUUCUCGUCGGUCAGGCGCCUCCUGUCGCUUCUGCUGCACCCGCUUCCUUCUCUUCCUCUCCUCUCCACUCCUCCGCCUCUUUUGA